This 538-nucleotide ribosomal RNA is filed under the name uncultured Pleosporales. Its description in RNAcentral is "eukaryotic LSU rRNA". The stretch from base 170 to 323 matches the Rfam family "5.8S ribosomal RNA". The record is from RNAcentral. Lineage: Eukaryota; Fungi; Ascomycota; Dothideomycetes; Pleosporales.
UCCGUAGGUGAACCUGCGGAAGGAUCAUUAACGUGGGGGUAAAACCCCGCCGAGAUAGAACCCUUGCCUUUUGUAUACCGUCCGUUUCCUUGGCAGGCUCGCCUGUCGAUGGACCUUUAUAAACCUUUGUAAUAACCUGUAAUAGUCUGAUUUAAAAUUUAAAAAUUAAAACUUUCAACAACGGAUCUCUUGGUUCUGGCAUCGAUGAAGAACGCAGCGAAAUGCGAUAAGUAGUGUGAAUUGCAGAAUUCAGUGAAUCAUCGAAUCUUUGAACGCACAUUGCGCCCUUUGGUAUUCCUUAGGGCAUGCCUGUUCGAGCGUCAUUUUAACCUUCAAGCUCUGCUUGGUGUUGGGUGUCUGUCCUGCCCCUGGGCAUGGACUCGCCUUAAAAUUAUUGGCGGCCGGUACAUUGGCUUCGAGCGCAGCAGAAACGCGAACUCGGGGACGGUGUGUUGGCUCCCAUAAGCAUUUUUUAUAAUCUUGACCUCGGAUCAGGUAGGGAUACCCGCUGAACUUAAGCAUAUCAAUAAGCGGAGGA